Molecule: long non-coding RNA, 787 nt
Organism: Anoplopoma fimbria (sablefish)
Lineage: Eukaryota; Metazoa; Chordata; Actinopteri; Perciformes; Anoplopomatidae
Exons: 3
Source: RefSeq, a predicted model, not a curated record
AGUUUGGUCGAAUUAAAAGAGAGAGGACGACCAGAUGAACGCAGAUUUCCCGGCUGCUGGAGGAGGGACGGUGGAUGUUCAAUCUUUGGAAAAGUAAAACCAGAGGGUCCACAUACACCAAACCCUAAACUGCUGUCUCUGGUCCAAAAAAUGAAGGAAAUCCAACAACUCCUUUCAGAGAACUGAAGACAGACAUGAAAAACCUGCAUCUUCUCUUCAAGAAAGCUUCUCUCUUUUGCUUUGCCGUUUACCAUCUUGGUGACAAUUAUCAAUCUUUACAAAAACAAUACUCCUGCUUUACUCCUGUGCUAAAGAAAAAAGAGCCUGCAAACCAUAAAUUUACCAAACAUUGAAUUUUUCAACUUUUUUUUCAUAUAAAAGUUAAGAAGCGUAUUUUGCUAUUUUAUCAUAAAUUUCCUACAGGGACUUAACAUUGUUGUUAUUCUUUGCUUUGGGUGCAGUUCUACUUAAAAUAAAAGGUUAAUCCAGCCAUGGCUACUCUAAAUCAUGUUUGAGGCUACUGUAGCUUGUUAGCUAUUACAGAAACAGGACAGAAGAAUUGGAGAAUGAAACUAACAUCACAUUGAUUAUUAAGAUUUGCAGUUUUCUGAUAUUUGGUUAAAAAUCUGCUCAGUAAAUGUUUUAGUUUUGUAUUUACAGAUGCUCUGAUAAAUUGCCUACAGAUGUCUUCUACUAUUAGGAUGGAUUAUUAGGUAAUAUUUCACUCCAAGUGCUGUUGAUUAUAAAGUUGUUUGCUAACGAAAUAAAGUUUUUGAAAUAAGAACAA